GUACAAGCUUCGGCGAUACAUAUACUAAAAUUGGAACGAUACAGAGAUUAGCAUGGCCCCCGCGCAAGGAUGACACAAAAAUCCGGCACGGUAGCUCAGCGUGU
Molecule: small nuclear RNA, 104 nt
Organism: Schistocerca cancellata (South American locust)
Lineage: Eukaryota; Metazoa; Arthropoda; Insecta; Orthoptera; Acrididae
Source: RefSeq, a predicted model, not a curated record